Non-coding RNA from Blepharisma stoltei, 462 nucleotides. The record is from the annotation of a GenBank genome assembly. NCBI's taxonomy places the organism in Eukaryota, Ciliophora, Heterotrichea, Heterotrichida, Blepharismidae.
GUUUAUAGCGACGUUGCUUGCUGAUUCUCCGAUGUCAACUCUUCCUAUCAUUGUGAAGCAGAAUUCACCAAAUGUCGGAUUGUUCACCCGCUAAUAGGGAAUUUGGGCUGAGUUAGAACUUCGUGAGACAGAUUAGUUUUACCCUACUGAUAAACUGAUAUAGCUACAGUAAUCCAACUCAGUACAAGGGGAGCUGUUGGGUCAGAUCACUGGUUCAUGCGAUUUCCUGACAAGUAGGCGUUGCGAUGCUACUAUCUGUUCCAUUAUGGCUAAAUGCCUCUAAGUCAGAGUCAAUACUGAAAUGCGAAGUCCACCAGUCACCUAUGGAAACCUAUCCAGGGGAAAUGAUGAAGACGGCUUCUCAAAGCUUUAGUUUACAUGAGUUAUUGUUUUACCCUUUGUUUUGUGGAUGUUUUGCUAAUAAUUGGUUAACAUAAAGGAAAUUUUGUAGUUAAGUAUUUA